UGCGGAAGGAUCAUUAAUGAAUUUUGGAAGGAGUUGUAGCUGGCCUUUUCGUCUGAGAGGCAUGUUGUGCAUGUUCUGAUCAUCAUCCAUUUUCACACCUGUGCACGCCCUGUAGGGGUUGGUUUUCUGUGGGGUCGAGUCUUUGUCGAUUCUGCCUUGCGGGGUGCCUCCCCUACGUUUUACCACAAACUACUUAGUCUAAAGAAUGUCUGUUGCGUUUAACGCAUCUAUGUACAACUUUCAGCAACGGAUCUCUUGGCUCUCGCAUCGAUGAAGAACGCAGCGAAAUGCGAUAAGUAAUGUGAAUUGCAGAAUUCAGUGAACCAUCGAAUUUUUGAACGCACCUUGUGCCCCUUGGUAUUCCGAGGAGCAUGCCUGUUUGAGUGUCAUGGAAAUCUCAACCCUGUUUCCUUAUGUGAACAGGGCUUGGAUCCUGGAGGCUUCAAUGCCGGCCGCUCUGGUAUUCGGCUCCUCUUGAAUGCAUGGCCUGAGCCCUUUGUGGAUCAGCUUCGGUGUGCUAAUUGUCUAUGCCGUUCUGUGAAACGUGCACCGUUGUAAGUGUGCGGGCUUAGUUGAUUUUUAAUUGCCCUCUCACCGGGACAAUCUUUUUGGCCUUUGACCUCAAAUCAGGUAGGGUUACCCGCUGAACUUAAGCAUAU
RNAcentral lists this ribosomal RNA (659 nucleotides) under Rhodofomitopsis flabellata. RNAcentral's name for it is "eukaryotic LSU rRNA". The stretch from base 236 to 389 matches the Rfam family "5.8S ribosomal RNA". Lineage: Eukaryota; Fungi; Basidiomycota; Agaricomycetes; Polyporales; Fomitopsidaceae. The record is from RNAcentral.